CACGUAGGCGGCUCGGCAAAUCGGUCGUGGAAUCCCGACGCUUACCGUCGGAACGGCGGCCGAAAAUACCGGGCUCGAGGGCGUGAGGGGUCACUGGAACUCCUGGUGAAGCGGUGGAAUGCGUAGAUAUCGGAAGGAACAUCAGUGGCGAAGGCGACUUCCUGGACCAAUACUGACGCUCAGGUGCGAAAGCGUGGGGAAGCAAACAG
Molecule: ribosomal RNA, 209 nt
Filed under: uncultured bacterium
Lineage: Bacteria
Description: partial 16S ribosomal RNA
Rfam family: Bacterial small subunit ribosomal RNA
Source: RNAcentral